AGAACUAUAAACUGACUACACAGCUCCCUGGCCCGGGAAGGCUAUGAAACAGGCAACAUGGACAAUUUAAAGGUGUACAAUAUCCGAGGUUCCAUUUCACCCUCAGGCAGCACGGAGUGGACAAGAGAUGGGGUCUCACUUUGUCACCCAGGCUGGGCUCAAACUCUUGGCUUCAAGCGAUCUUCUCGCCUUGGUCUCCCAAAGUGCUGGGAUUACAGGCUUGAACUGCUGUACCUGACUGACUUUUCCUAUUUCUAAUAUCAGCAUGAAGAACACAAGAAGUCAGCUUCAAAGGCAUCCAGCAAUAUCAUCUAUUCUCCACUUUGCUAAAUCUUACCUUUGGCAGAGCCUUCAUGAACAAGAUUGGUACCCAUAUAAAAGAAGCCCCAGAGAGCUAUCUUGACCCUUCUACCAUGUGAAGACACAACAACAAGGUACCGUCUAUGAACCAGGAAAUGGGCCCUCACCAGACACCUAAUCUGCUGGUGCCUUGAUCUUGGACUUCUCAGCUUCUAGAACUGUGGGAAUUAAAUUUCUAUUGUUUAUAAGCUACCCAGUUUACACUAUUGUGUUAUAGCAGCCCAAAAGCACACCCUGUUUCAAGAUUCUGCAUUCAUUUACUCAUUCAUACAUUCAACCAUAUUUUGUUGGGCACCAAUGAUGCCAGGCACUACUCUAGGUGCUCAGGAUACAAUAAUUAACAAGGCGGACAAUGCCCCUGGCUUCAUGGAGAUAAACUGUGUUGAUGAACAGGAAGUAGACAGAGUGGUCAGAGAAGGCUGGAGGAGAGCACAGUUGACCAGAGAUCUGAUGGAAGUGAGAAAGCAAACUAUGGGAAUGUCUGGAAAAAGAGCAUUCCAGGCAGAGGAAUGAGCAAGUGGCAAAGAUCCUCAAAUGCCUACACUUCCAUGGGAGAAGGCCAGUGAGUGAGGAAAAGAGAGGUAGCAAAGGGAAUCAGAGAGGAUGCAGGGAUCCAGAUCUCAAAGGGACUUGUAGGUAAUGGCCAACACUUUGGACUUCAUGUUUUCAGAGUGAUGGAAAGUCCUUACAGCCUUUCCCAGCCCCUAGCUAAGCCUCUAUUGAUUACUUCUCCUUCUUGUGCUCUUAUCACCUGUACUUUUAUUUACCAGUUAGUCUAUAUUCCAUGGAUUUCUAUUCAUCUCUUGUGUAUCAGUUCUAUGUCCUCAACUAUGUCUCAACGGCAAGAAUCAGUCAUAUUCUCCUCUGUAUUCCCAAGGCCUGGCACCUAAGAGAUGCUAAAUAAAUCUUUCUGGAAGGUGAUAAUGAUGAUGUAAUCUCUUAGAAUCUUUUCUAGCUGUUAAGAUCCAUGAUGCCUUUGAACUCUCUCAACAAACUAGUUUGCACAAUGACUCAGAGGACUGACAUCUUUCUAGAUAUUUUGAGAUUAUAUUCAUGCCACUUUUAGAGUCUCCAUCCAUCAAAUGACUAGAAUGAAUUACAUCAGAGUUUUGUUUAAAUGAAGGCUGUGCCACUUGGAAUGGGAUUCCCUUACAUGGAACUACCUACUAAUAUUUGGACUUUAAGCCACCUGAACCUCAGGAGAGUAAUAAAUUGCUAUUAAAUAAAUGCU
This 1591-nucleotide non-coding RNA is filed under the name Pongo abelii (Sumatran orangutan). Lineage: Eukaryota; Metazoa; Chordata; Mammalia; Primates; Hominidae. The record is from RNAcentral.